UUUCCGUAGGUGAACCUGCGGAAGGAUCAUUAACAAAUGAAUGAAUAUUGUGACAAUUGUGAGUUGGUCAACUUUUAGUUGAUAGCUUUAUGCAAUGAUAAUGUAGUCAUAUACAACUAUAAUUAAAUACAACUUUUAACAAUGGAUCUCUAGGCUCUCACAUCGAUGAAGAACGCAGC
RNAcentral lists this unclassified non-coding RNA (179 nucleotides) under plant metagenome. RNAcentral describes it as "partial contains small subunit ribosomal RNA, internal transcribed spacer 1, and 5.8S ribosomal RNA". The stretch from base 131 to 179 matches the Rfam family "5.8S ribosomal RNA", at positions 1 to 49 of the family's 154-position model. The record is from RNAcentral.